RNAcentral lists this long non-coding RNA (3079 nucleotides) under Vitis vinifera (wine grape). RNAcentral describes it as "long non-coding RNA (VVIN_LNC002034)". Lineage: Eukaryota; Viridiplantae; Streptophyta; Magnoliopsida; Vitales; Vitaceae. The record is from RNAcentral.
AGGCUUAUCAUCGUCCUCAAACAAGAUAUCAAAAGCGGCGGACCAACAGAAACAACACUCUUUUACAGUGUCUUACCUUGUAAAUAGAUGUGGGUUGCCUCUCAAAACUGCUACCUCUGCAUCUCAAAUGGUACAUUUUGAAUCCUCAGAAGGGCCGACUCGGUCCUGGCCUUUCUGAAAAACCAUGGAUUCUCAGAUAUCCAGAUCGCCAAACUCAUCACGAGGCUCCCCAGGUUGGUUUGUUCUGACCCUGAGGAAACCCUUCUCCCCAAAAUUGAGUUUUUCAGUUCUAUAGGCAUUUCAGGCCAUGAUUUCACUAGGAUUGUCACUCAGAAUCCAAAUAUCUGGUUCCGGAGUGUAGAGAAACGAUUCGUUCCUUGUUAUGAUUUUAUCAAGAGUAUGGUUCUCUCGGAGGAUAAAGUGGUUACAACUUUGAAGAGAGCACCUAGGAUGCUCAUGUGUGAUAUGCAGACAAGUAUUGCUCCCAAUAUUGCAUCGUUGAGGAAGUUUGGAGUGACUCAAUCGACUGUGUUGUUUUUGGUGACUGAUUAUCCCAAUAUACUGCUGCGGACAAGCGCCAAGUUUGAACAACAUGUCAGGGAAGUUGUUGACAUGGGAUUCGACCCGAAGAAAUCAGAAUUUGUCCAUGCACUGAGAGUGUUUGCUGGGAUGAGUGAGUUGAGUCGAGAACGUAAAAUGGCGAUUUUAGGUGGUUUGGUUGGUCGGAAGAGGAGAUUCUGUCGGUCUUAAAAACGCAUCCCAUGUGUGAUAUUAUCGGAAAAGAAAAUAAUGGAUGGGUUGGAUUUCCUGAUGAAUAAAAUGGGUUGGCAGCGGGAGGCUGUUGCAAGAGUUCCUUUGGUUCUUUGUUAUAGUUUGAAUAAGAGGGUAAUUCCGAGGUGUUCAAUUGUGCAAGUUCUGCAGUCCAAGGGUUUGUUAAAGGAGGCAGAUUUUUAUUUAUCUAGUGUGUUGAUACCUCCUGAGAAGGUCAUCUUGGCCAGGUUUGUCAUCAAAUAUGAAGAACAAGUUCCUCAGCUGUUGAGUGUCUAUAAAGGGAAAUUGGGUCUUCCGGAGCUAGGCUUUGGGUCUGAGGGAAUGAAACAGUUGUAGUGUAUUUUUGACUGCUACAAUACAAUGACUUCAACCUGGCUCUUUUGUAAGUAAUCGUGAUUAUUUAAUGAAGGGGUGUGUGGAUCAGUAGCAAUACUCUUUCAGAGUUUCUUACUCUAUCGACCCAUGAGGCUUGUCCCAGAAAAUGCUAAAUUAUGCAUGUGAAAUUAAGUUCAUUAUUCAAACCAAUCUAAACUUAUCAGGUAUUCACAUAACUCCUUUUGGCUAAACUUGAAUUUUGUUUUUUCUUCUGACUUUUGUUCUAUAGGGUUCCCUAGGGCUGACCUCUGUUUGCCUCCUGUAUACACUCUCCAUGCCUCAGAUCCAUCACAGUAAUAGAGGAAUCCAAACCACUUGCAACUCCUCUUUGGUUCUUCAUCUCAACUCUGCAACUUUCAAUUUUGGAGUGUGUCAAGAGAGUUUGAUUAUGCAAUCAAUUCUGAAACUCUUGAAAAUCUUCCUGGAAAUUAGUUUCUUUUCCUAUCCUGUCCUUUUUCUAGACAUUCAGACAUUCCAUAUUCUCUUCUCCCCACUUUUUGUGCUUCUCCUCUCCUUCCAUCCCUAAAUCUACCUAGCUUUGUAACCGAUAAACCCUAAGAAUGUGGUGCAUUCCAUUCAGUUUCCAAACCCAUCUAUGUAAUCCCCCCAAAAUCCAUACUCAUUGAUGCUCAUCUCAUAAUUUCAUCUUAUUCAAAGAAGUUGGCACUCUUUAGGGAUAUUGGGUGUUAGUUCUUUACCCCAAGGCUAUGAUGCAAUAUAUACUAAGAUUGUUGAUGAAGUUAAUGAAUGGAAUUAGACCUCAUGAAGUAUAUUGGCAAUACAUGCCAUUGUAGGUAAGAGUCAUAAGUUGAUUGUAUUGGAGGUGGGGUUGGUUCAAGGAGAACAGCAAGCACAUUGUAUUGACUAUCAGAGAAGAAGAUGAUACAAGAUCCCAUGACCCAAAAAAUGAGUGCUAUUCCAGUGUAAUUGCUCAGGGGCAAAGGAAAGAGUGUUUGUUUGGAUAUUACUAUUUUAUAUUUUAAAAAUAAAAAUAAUAAUAAUUUCUAUAUUUAUAGUUAUUCUUAUAUAAAUAGUAUGAAUUUAUUUUGUAUUUUAAAAAUUAUUUUUAAUAUUUUUAUACUUUCACCAAAUACUCUAUAUCAUGAUCAUUUCAAAUAAGUGAAUUGUGUUUUAGUUUUACAUUCUAUUAGAUAAUUUUUUUUUAUAAAAAAAAACAAAUACAAAUGUACCAUUAUUUUUCUAUUUUUAGGUAAUUUUUCUAAAUUAAUCUAAAAUAUAAUUGGGAAAAAUAUGCUACUCCCUUUCAAUAGCAGUUCCAUUCCACCCACCUCUUCAUAUUUCCAUUUUCUCCUGUCAAUGAAUAGGGUGAGGAUGUGGCAUCCAGCUUGAAUGGGGGUAUUUUUCAGAAAGGGUUGAAGUGUUUUAGAUUCAAACGACGCCGUUUAGUUGUCUCUGUGCACUACAAUCUGUCAACCGUUGAACCCUCCGAAACUAUAUGGAUUGCGGCGUUCUGGCAAGGAAAUAGGGUUCUAAGACUUAAAAAGUGGCUUCCGGUUCUGCAAAUCUUCAGGGCCAUUUGAAGUUUGUCGGUAAAGUCCUGUGAUUUAGUUCCAAAAAUUCUCCCAAAAUGUUUAGUUUCCUCUGCCGAACACUUCGUUUUUCGGCUCCCAAUAUUCAGAAUUCAUCCUGUUUUCUUGAAAAUGUGUCACUGGUUCUCAUCAGAGGCUUAUCAUCGUCCUCAAACAAGAUAUCAAACGCGGCGGACCAACAGCAACAACACUCUUUUACAGUGUCUUACCUUGUAAAUAAAUGUGGGUUGCCUCUCAAAACUGCUACCUCUGCAUCGCAAAUGGUACAUUUUGAAUCCUCAGAAGGGCCUGACUCGGUCCUGGCCUUUCUGAAAAACCAUGGAUUCUCUGAUACCCAGAUCGCCAAACUCAUCACGAGGCGGCCCAGGUUGGUUUGUUCUGAC